Molecule: long non-coding RNA, 186 nt
Organism: Haplochromis burtoni (Burton's mouthbrooder)
Lineage: Eukaryota; Metazoa; Chordata; Actinopteri; Cichliformes; Cichlidae
Exons: 2
Source: RefSeq, a predicted model, not a curated record
CUGGAGGAUCAAAAAAGCUUCAUCUCAGUGUAACUGUGGAAGAGUUUUUAAAUAAUGUAGACGGAGUCAAUGCCACCACAAACAGUUCUGCAGAAGUAACUUUCUUCUAUGCUGCAGCUGGAUCAGCUGUGUUCAUCAUCACAUCUGGAGUUAUUCUUGGACUGGUCUACAGCAAGAAAUACAACA